Oncorhynchus tshawytscha (Chinook salmon) is the source of this 1730-nucleotide long non-coding RNA. RefSeq lists it as uncharacterized. The record is from RefSeq and is a predicted model, not a curated record. The transcript has 2 exons. Lineage: Eukaryota; Metazoa; Chordata; Actinopteri; Salmoniformes; Salmonidae.
CUCAACUGCGUUACCCACUCCAGUCAGCAGAUGGCGGUCUGACUUUAAGGCGAUGCUGCUAGUGUGACGUAUAAUCUAGUGGACGGAACGCUUCUUUCAACAGCAACAACAGUUCGUCAGACACCUCGGUAGCUUGCUAGACAAAAUAGCCGAACCAAUAAAGCUCUUUAGACGCUUUCGUGUAUAUUAGCCACUGUGUUUAAAACCCACCUCUGUCGUCUAGUUAGUUAUCCGAUUUAAUUUCAUAUUUACGGUGUUGUUAUUAGUCAGCUAGCGGGCUGGUUAAGUUAGCAUUAGCCUAGCUAGCUAACAUCCCCGACCAUGCGGUCACUUAGCUACUCUCCUGAAAAAAAAGAAGAGGAGGUCUGCUGGACGGAGAAAGAAGUUCUCGUGAAAGAGGAGGAGGAAGAGGAGGCUGUUACAUUACAAAAGCAAGUAGAGGGAGAGAGACGGGACUAUCGUGGAGCCUCAACAAAAUCAUGAUGCUAACAAGGCAGAAAACAGUCUCUCCAGAUCAAAACACCCCAAGAAACACCUGCAGAGGCCCACAAGGAAGAGAACUCACCCCUGCUCUGACUGUGGAAAGAGCUUUGUUUCUUCAGGAUGUUUAAAAUCACACCAGAGAGCACACACAGGAGAGAAACCUUAUACCUGUGAUCAAUGUGGGAAGAGAUAUGUUACAUCUAGCGUCUGACUAAACACCAGAGAACGCACACAGGAGAGAAACCGUAUAGCUGUAUUCAAUAUGGGAAGAGUUUUACUCAGUCAUUCAGCCUGAUAUUGCACCAGAGGACACACACAGGAGAGAAAUCUUAUAUCUGUGCGCAAUGCGGGAAGAGAUUCGCCUCAGCAGACAUUAAAGUUCACCAGAAAAUCCACACAGGAGAGACCUUUUUGCUGCUCUGACUGUGGAACGAGUUUUGUUCACUCAGGACAAUUAAAAUCAUACCAGAGAACACACACACAGUAGAGAAACCUUCUAGCUGUAAUCAAUGUGAGAAGAGUUUUACUCAGUCAGGCAACCUGGUAUCACACCAGAGAACACACACAGGAAAUAAACCUUUUAGCUGUGAGGAAUGUGGAAAGAGUUUUACUACAUCUAACCAUCUUAUUGUACACCAGAGAACACACACGAGAGAAAUCUCAUAACUGUGAUCAAUGUGACAAGACAUACUCUGAUCAAACAUCAGAAAAUACAUGGAGGAGUUGUUUCAUGAUAUAAAUGAAAUGAUGUCACAAUGUAGAAUGUUUUAACAUUGUAGAAGGAGUAUUUUAAAUGAUGUCACAAUGUAGAACUGUAAACGUUUGUCGCCUGUUCUAUUGAUUUCAGCAUGAUAUGGAUAUUAGCCUCGGGGAAAAUCCAGGCUCUGAAUUGGAAGAGUACUAUUUAUGUGAUUUAACAAAAAGUGACUUACAAAAAAUAGUUGUUACACUUGCCACAUUGGUGACCCACUUAAAUCAAAAUGCAACACUUCAAAAUGUAGCUAGCUGUUUUUUACAAAUUCCUUGUGGUUUUUGCUGUGUUGGUUUUAACAGGAUAUGCAACCUGAUUUCCCCCCAAAUCGAUAUCAGUGAUUUAUUGCUACUUGUGCAGUUUUUAAGGUGCUUGUUUAAAAAAAUACAAGUAAUAUGAUUUCUGUGGCAGAAGUUUGUGUGUAUAUUAAUUUUGUAUUAUUUCGUGCCUCACCAUUAAGUAAAUUAUUGUCAAUACAUAUUAACAAAGGGGUGUA